Non-coding RNA from Arvicola amphibius (Eurasian water vole), 1108 nucleotides. Lineage: Eukaryota; Metazoa; Chordata; Mammalia; Rodentia; Cricetidae. The record is from the annotation of a RefSeq genome assembly.
UCUCCCCAAGGAGAGCAAUGAAGACACUGACUGGACCUUUUGUCCUGUUCUUGUGGUUGCAGUUGAACUGUGUGAGCAGAGGAGAGCAGCUGGAGCAGCCUUCUCUCCUGAGUGUCCAAGAGGGAGGCAGUGCUGUUAUCAACUGCACCUACACAGACAGUGCAAUUUAUUACUUCUUCUGGUACAAGCAAGAGCCUGGGGCAGGUCUCCAGUUCCUUAUGAAUGUUCUUUCAAAUGUGGACAGAAAGGAACAAAGACUCACUGUCCUGCUAAAUAAGGAGGACAAACAUCUCUCCCUGAACAUCACAGCUGCCCAUCCUGGGGACUCAGCCACAUACUUCUGUGCAGCAAGUGCACACACUGAACAUUGUGUGUCUAGUUACAAUACAUUUUACUUCGGAUCUGGCACCAAACUCAAUGUUAAACCAAACAUCCCGGACCCAAAACCAGCUGUGUACCAGCUAAGAGAUGCUCAGGCCAAGAACAGCACCAUCUGCCUGUUCACCGACUUCAGUUCCCAAGUCAACAACUCAGAGGACGUGCCACCUGAAGUGUUUGUCUCCAAAAACACCGUGCUGGACAUGCGGUCUAUGGAUUCCAAGAGCAAUGGGGCCAUUGCCUGGAGUGACCACAGUAGUUUGAACUGUAAAGACGCCUUCAGACAGAAUGCCUCCUACCCCAGCUCAGAUGUUCCCUGUGAUGCCAAGUUGAUAGAGAAAAGCUUUGAAACAGAUAUGAACCUCAACUUUCAAAACCUGUCAGUGAUGGGACUCCGAAUCCUGCUCCUGAAAGUGGCCGGAUUUAACCUGCUCAUGACGCUGCGGCUGUGGUCCAGUUGAGGUUUCCAGACUGAAGGAGGCUGAACUCCCAAGCUCUUUCCUCUCAUCACCCCUCCUCGCCCUCUUCAAGUGAAAAGGAGCCCGCCCACCUCCUAAAGAAGGCUCUCGGGUCUGAGCAGCUCACAACCCCAUCAACUCUGUCUCCUGAAUCUGUGAUGGAGAAUGCUGAAGAUCCGCUACUACUCCACUUCCUCACUGCUGCCGGCCACUCAAGACAGGCAGGGGCUGCUGCUUCUCCUGGAUGUGAAGACCCUUCACACACACUCCUG